UGGAGUAUAAUUCAGUGGCAGAAGACACGUCUUAUAAACGGGUUGUCGGUUUUAUGGGUUCGAUUCCCCCUACUCCAA
RNAcentral lists this transfer RNA (78 nucleotides) under Siphoviridae sp. ctr2f5. RNAcentral's name for it is "tRNA-Ile". It matches the Rfam family "tRNA". Rfam says of the family: Transfer RNA (tRNA) molecules are approximately 80 nucleotides in length. Lineage: Duplodnaviria; Heunggongvirae; Uroviricota; Caudoviricetes. The record is from RNAcentral.